UUGAACGCUGGCGGCAGGCCUAACACCUGCAAGUCGAACGGUAACAGGAAGAAGCUUGCUUCUUUGCUGACGAGUGGCGGACGGGUGAGUAAUGUCUGGGAAACUGCCUGAUGGAGGGGGAUAACUACUGGAAACGGUAGCUAAUACCGCAUAACGUCGCAAGACCAAAGAGGGGGACCUUCGGGCCUCUUGCCAUCGGAUGUGCCCAGAUGGGAUUAGCUAGUAGGUGGGGUAACGGCUCACCUAGGCGACGAUCCCUAGCUGGUCUGAGAGGAUGACCAGCCACACUGGAACUGAGACACGGUCCAGACUCCUACGGGAGGCAGCAGUGGGGAAUAUUGCACAAUGGGCGCAAGCCUGAUGCAGCCAUGCCGCGUGUAUGAAGAAGGCCUUCGGGUUGUAAAGUACUUUCAGCGGGGAGGAAGGGAGUAAAGUUAAUACCUUUGCUCAUUGACGUUACCCGCAGAAGAAGCACCGGCUAACUCCGU
This 488-nucleotide ribosomal RNA is filed under the name uncultured bacterium. RNAcentral describes it as "partial 16S ribosomal RNA". It matches the Rfam family "Bacterial small subunit ribosomal RNA", at positions 30 to 506 of the family's 1533-position model. The record is from RNAcentral.